UGGGGAAUAUUGCACAAUGGGCGAAAGCCUGAUGCAGCAACGCCGCGUGAGUGAUGAAGGCCUUCGGGUUGUAAAGCUCUGUCUUCUGGGACGAUAAUGACGGUACCAGAGGAGGAAGCCACGGCUAACUACGUGCCAGCAGCCGCGGCAAUACGUAGGUGGCAAGCGUUGUUCGGAAUCACUGGGCGUAAAGCGCAUGCAGGCGGACUGAUAAGUCAGGGGUGAAAGCCCGAGGCUCAACCUCGGAACUGCCUUUGAUACUGUCAGUCUUGAGUCCGGGAGAGGUGAGUGGAACUGCGAGCGUAGAGGUGAAAUUCGUAGAUAUUCGCAAGAACACCAGUGGCGAAGGCGGCUCACUGACCCGGUACUGACGCUGAGAUGCGAAAGCGUGGGGAGCAAACA
RNAcentral lists this ribosomal RNA (402 nucleotides) under uncultured bacterium. Its description in RNAcentral is "bacterial SSU rRNA". It matches the Rfam family "Bacterial small subunit ribosomal RNA", at positions 355 to 774 of the family's 1533-position model. The record is from RNAcentral.